GACGAACGCUGGCGGCGUGCUUAACACAUGCAAGUCGAACGGAAAGGCCCUGCUUUUGUGGGGUGUCAGAGUGGCGAACGGGUGAGUAACACGCGAGUAACCUGCCCUUGCCUUUGGGAUAACUUCAGGAAACUGGGGCUAAUACCGGAUAGGAGCUCCUGCUGCAUGGUGGGGGUUGGAAAGUUUCGGCGGUCUGGGAUGGAAUCCCGGCUUUUCAGCUUGUUGGUGGGGUAGUGUCUUACCAAGGCUUUGACGGGUAGCCGGCCUGAGAGGGUGACCGGCCACAGUGGGCCUGGGAUGCGGCCCAGACGCCUACGGGAGGCAGCGGUGGGGAAUAUUGCACAAUGGGCGGAGGCCUGAUGCAGCAACGCCGCGUGCGGGAUGACGGCUUUCGGGUUGUAAACCGCUUUCGCCUGUGACGAAGCGUGAUUGACGGUAAUGGGUAAAGAAGCACCGGCUAACUACGUG
RNAcentral lists this ribosomal RNA (468 nucleotides) under uncultured bacterium. RNAcentral describes it as "partial 16S ribosomal RNA". It matches the Rfam family "Bacterial small subunit ribosomal RNA", at positions 28 to 507 of the family's 1533-position model. The record is from RNAcentral.